Non-coding RNA from Manis javanica (Malayan pangolin), 2128 nucleotides. The record is from RefSeq and is a predicted model, not a curated record. Lineage: Eukaryota; Metazoa; Chordata; Mammalia; Pholidota; Manidae.
GAAGAAAACAGCAGUAGACUCAUAGACACUAAAAAGGGACUGUUGGUCACCAAAGAGGAGGGGUUGGGGUGAGUUGCAGGGGGAGGGUGAAGGAGAUAAAGGGGCACAAUAAUUCACAAUCACAUAUAAGUUGGUCACCGGGACAGUAAUACAGAACGGAGAAUACGGUUAAUGAUUCUGUAAAUCUUCUACCGUUGAUAGUGACUGCUAGACUAGAGGGGGUGAGGAUUUAAUAAUAUGGGUAACUGUUGAGCCACUCUGUUGUAUAUUUGAGACCAACAUGAGAUGAGAUUGUGUAUCAACGAUACUUUAAUGAAAAAAAAGCCAAACAAACACUGAAGGAGCCAGAAAGAGCCACCGCUUCCCCAAAGCUGGGAGAAUUUGCCUGGGACAAAUUCCAGAGGGGCAGGUGUGUCUUGAGCUCUCACUGUUGAGGCCCAGUGCCUAGCAGCAAAGCCAGGACUUGUAUGGUCACUGUCAUUGGUGAGUCCGCAGGUUCCAGAUCUACAAAUGCUGUUGAUGGUGACUGGCCUCCUGGUCACUGGUCUGACUCCCACACAGCCCAUCAGACCAACUGCUGUGAACCUUCUGGCACCAGGGCAGGCUCCCAUCCACACCCUGCCCUCCUCCUGGAUUCUCUGUGGGGAGCGGGGAAGGUGGAAACACAGGGCCCCGCGGUAGCUGCAUCCAAAAGAGCAGAGCUUCAGCCUUCUUUGUGUCAAGGUUUUGUGGGCAAGGGCAGCAGAAACUUUCCUAAGAAGCCCUGGGGCCACUGGUGAGAGGCCUGGGGUGAGGACCUGGCCUGGGAGGGUGGGCAGUGGCAAUAUUAAUCACGUAGAUAGAUGGAAGACACAUGUGGCAAGCAGGAGACACUCCUUGCGGGCAAAAUAUCUUCCUCAGGGGGAGCUGGGAGAGAUUGCCCACUGGGUUAGAGAGGAGCUUAAAUCGCGCGAGCCGGAACUUGACCUAUCCCCAACCAAACCCCUCAUCAAGGCAACAAAUUCUGGCCUCUGGGCUGUACAGAUAGAGAAUUUUGGAUUCUCAGGCAGCACCGAGAACAGGUUCCAUCCAUCAAAGCAUGCCCUAGGAUGCUUGUGCUCUUCCCACACAGGUAAGUGUGGAGAAGGGGCUUGGAAGUCCCAAGAUGGAAGUGACAGGUAAGAGGAGCAGGUGCCACAGGGGAGAGGGCUGGCCACAGGCUUGCCAAGCCCAGCCCCUCCCUCCCCAGGAAGGAAAUGGAAAGCUGGGAAGCCCUGAGCCCAAGUCUCUACUGUGCCCCGCCCCCACCUCACCGUGAGCCUCUCCUCACACUGGGCGCCCUGCCUCCUUGGAGCUCCAAGCCCUUGCUCCUGGCGCGGAUGCUGGCGCAUGGUCCUGCAGUGCUCGGGCGUUCACCUGAGGGAGCAUGCAACGUGUGCACAAGGACGUGCUGCCAGGUUUCCUUCCAGACCACGCUGAGGGAGCCCCUUCCUGAUGGCCGCUUGAUGAAGCCUCCUGUUGAGGGCAGCUGGUUUCAGUCCCAUCCACUUACGUUCCUUCAGAAGAGGACAAGUGGCAACUGCUGAGACAGGGCUCUGUUAAUAACCUUAGGCGUGAUCAUUUUCUAAGAGGGAACCUAAGAUGGCUGCUGUCACCUAUUUGGUUUUGCACUGGGCCUGAUGCUCCUCCCGGCAUCACAUUUGGAUGAAGAAACAAAGGCUCAGAGAGAUUAAAAGUCUUGAUUAAUUAAGUCGGUAAGGAAGAAGCAGAGCCACAAUUCAAGUUCAAGGGCCCCAACUCCAGAACUAUUGCCCUGUAAGAAGUAUGACACCAUUUAUAUUCAGAAGGGCCACUCUACCUCAGUUUGCAACGAAAUACUCAAGAAACUAAAGUAAAACAUUAAUCAUUGAUGGCAUUUCUACUACCAGAUGUAAAAAUAACACGAUCCAGUUAUUUUGUUUACUAUGACAAAAAUCUUCUUGAAAAAAAUUAAAAUUGGAUGGUUCUAGGAGCCACCUUAUAGAAAUCCUAAUUCAUUUGGUCUGGCCAGGGGCCUACGAAUCUGCAUUUUGUGCCAUAUGUCAGGUGAUUCUGAUGGUCGUUCUUGGGCCAUACUUUGAAAAAGACUGCUCUGGAUGAGUAGGUAUCU